AUGCUCCGCCUCCGCCUCGGAUGCCGCGCCCUGUCCCAGCUCCUCCCGCCCCCAUCCUCGUCUCCCAUCUCCCAGCUCCUCGGCUACCACAGCCGCCUCCUCUCCGCGGCCGCGCCCGUCGUCUCCCCAAACCCUAGCUUCGCCGUGGAGGAUUACCUCGUCUCCACCCGCGGCCUCGUCCGAGCGCAGGCCCUCAAGGCCUCCCCCAAGCUCGCCCACCUCAGGUCCCCCGCCAACCCCGACGCCGUGCUCGCCUUCCUCGCCGGCCUCGGCCUCUCCGGCGCCGACGUGGCCGCCCUCGUCGCCAGGGAGCCCCAGUUGCUCUGCGCCAAAGUGGAGAGGACCCUGGCCCCCAACGUCGCCGCGCUCACCGGCGUGGGGUUAUCGCGUUCUGAGAUCGUCGGCCUCCUGUCGCUCGGAUGCGGCAAACUCCGCUCUAGAUCCGACGUCUCCAAGCUGCAGUACCACCUGUCCCUCUUCGGCUCCAUCGACAACUUCCUCCAUGCUCUCAAGCGCAAGGGAUGCUCCAUUCUCUGGGCUGACCUCGAGAGGGUGGUCAAGCCCAAUGUCGCUUUCCUGCGAGAGUUUGGGCUUGGUCCUUGUGAUAUUGCCAAGCUGUGCGUCGCUCAGCCAUGGCUACUCACCUCCAGGGCAGAGCGUGUCCGGGCGACGGCGGUGUGCGUCGAAGGUCUGGGUAUACCCCGAGGGUCUGGGAUGUUUAGGCAUGCACUCAAUGCUGUUGCAUUCGUCAGCAAGGAGAAAAUCGCCGCCAAAGUGGAGCACCUGAAGAAAACGUUCAGGUGGUCGGAUGCUGAGGUGGGCAUUGCUAUUUCUAGGGCUCCAAAUGUGCUGAAUAAGACUAAGGAGUUUCUGCAGAGAAGGUCAGAGUUCCUCAUCUCUGAUUUGGGGUUGGAACCCGCAUACAUUGCUCGUCGCCCCGUAAUGCUCUCGUACAGCCUGGAGCGCCGGCUAAGGCCCCGGAGCUACGUUGUGAAGUUUCUCAAGGCAAAUGGAUUGCUAGAUCCCGACCGGGACUUGUAUUCCGUGCUUGUACUGUCUGAGAAGGUAUUCAUGGAGAAGUACAUAUGCCCUCACAAGGAAGCUGCACCGUGCCUCGCUGGAGACUAUGCUGAUGCUUGCAAAGGGCUACUGCCGACUAAUUUCAGAUUUACAUGA
This 1176-nucleotide ribosomal RNA is filed under the name Triticum aestivum (bread wheat). Its description in RNAcentral is "partial small subunit ribosomal RNA". The record is from RNAcentral. Lineage: Eukaryota; Viridiplantae; Streptophyta; Magnoliopsida; Poales; Poaceae.